RNAcentral lists this ribosomal RNA (467 nucleotides) under uncultured bacterium. RNAcentral describes it as "partial 16S ribosomal RNA". It matches the Rfam family "Bacterial small subunit ribosomal RNA", at positions 29 to 507 of the family's 1533-position model. The record is from RNAcentral.
ACGAACGCUGGCGGCGCGCCUAACACAUGCCAGUCGAACGGAGCUGAGAGAAGCUUGCUUUUCUUAGCUUAGUGGCGAACGGGUGAGUAACGCGUGAGUAACCUGCCCUGGAGUGGGGGACAACAGUUGGAAGCGACUGCUAAUACCGCAUAAGCCCACGAUCCGGCAUCGGAUUGAGGGAAAAGGAUUUAUUCGCUUCAGGAUGGACUCGCGUCCAAUUAGCUAGUUGGUGAGGUAACGGCCCACCAAGGCGACGAUUGGUAGCCGGACUGAGAGGUUGAACGGCCACAUUGGGACUGAGACACGGCCCAGACUCCUACGGGAGGCAGCAGUGGGGGAUAUUGCACAAUGGGGGAAACCCUGAUGCAGCGACGCCGCGUGGAGGAAGAAGGUUUUCGGAUUGUAAACUCCUGUCGUUAGGGACGAUAAUGACGGUACCUAACAAGAAAGCACCGGCUAACUACGUG